RNAcentral lists this ribosomal RNA (203 nucleotides) under uncultured bacterium. Its description in RNAcentral is "partial 16S ribosomal RNA". It matches the Rfam family "Bacterial small subunit ribosomal RNA", at positions 568 to 774 of the family's 1533-position model. The record is from RNAcentral.
UGCGUAGGCGGGUCUUUAAGUCAGGGGUGAAAUCCUGGAGCUCAACUCCAGAACUGCCUUUGAUACUGAAGAUCUUGAGUUCGAGAGAGGUGAGUGGAACUGCGAGUGUAGAGGUGAAAUUCGUAGAUAUUCGCAAGAACACCAGUGGCGAAGGCGGCUCACUGGCCCGAUACUGACGCUGAGGCAAAGCUGGGGAGCAAACA